This 522-nucleotide ribosomal RNA is filed under the name uncultured beta proteobacterium. Its description in RNAcentral is "bacterial SSU rRNA". It matches the Rfam family "Bacterial small subunit ribosomal RNA", at positions 9 to 524 of the family's 1533-position model. Lineage: Bacteria; Pseudomonadati; Pseudomonadota; Betaproteobacteria. The record is from RNAcentral.
GAGUUUGAUCCUGGCUCAGAUUGAACGCUGGCGGAAUGCUUUACACAUGCAGGUCGAACGGCAGCACGGGGGCAACCCUGGUGGCGAGUGGCGAACGGGUGAGUAAUACAUCGGAACGUGCCCAGUCGUGGGGGAUAACGUAGCGAAAGCUACGCUAAUACCGCAUACGAACUCUGGUUGAAAGCGGGGGAUCGCAAGACCUCGCGCGAUUGGAGCGGCCGAUGGCAGAUUAGGUAGUUGGUGGGGUAAAGGCCUACCAAGCCGACGAUCUGUAGCUGGUCUGAGAGGACGACCAGCCACACUGGGACUGAGACACGGCCCAGACUCCUACGGGAGGCAGCAGUGGGGAAUUUUGGACAAUGGGCGCAAGCCUGAUCCAGCCAUUCCGCGUGCAGGAUGAAGGCCCUCGGGUUGUAAACUGCUUUUGUACGGAACGAAACGGUCUUUUCUAAUACAAGAGGCUAAUGACGGUACCGUAAGAAUAAGCAACCGGCUAAACUACGUGCCAGCAGCCGCAGUAAC